UACGUAGGGUGCAAGCGUUGUCCGGAAUUACUGGGCGUAAAGAGUUCGUAGGCGGUUUGUCACGUCGUUUUGUGAAAACUCACAGCUCAACUGUGAGCCUGCAGGCGAUACGGGCAGACUUGAGUACUGCAGGGGAGACUGGAAUUCCUGGUGUAGCGGUGAAAUGCGCAGAUAUCAGGAGGAACACCGAUGGCGAAGGCAGGUCUCUGGGCUGUAACUGACGUGAGGAGCGAAAGCAUGGGGGAGCGAACAGG
This 254-nucleotide ribosomal RNA is filed under the name uncultured bacterium. RNAcentral's name for it is "partial 16S ribosomal RNA". It matches the Rfam family "Bacterial small subunit ribosomal RNA", at positions 524 to 776 of the family's 1533-position model. The record is from RNAcentral.